AGGACGAACGUUGGCGGCGUGCCUUACACAUGCAAGUCGUACGCGAAAGGGGAAUCCAGCUUGCUGGGGACCCCCCGGUAGAGUGGCGAACGGGAGCGUAACACGUGAGGAACCUGCCUCGGAGUGGGGAAUAACCCAGAGAAAUCUGGGCUAAUUCCGCAUGAUGCAGCGGCCCCGCAGUGGGGACAGUUAGUAAAAGACCGCCUCUGCUUGCAAGCGGUCGCUUCGAGAUGGUCUCGCGGCCUAUCAGCUAGGUUGGCGGGGUAAUCGGCCCACCGAAGGCGACGGACGGGUACGCCGGCCUGGAGGAGGGUGUCCCGGCCUCGAGUUCGGACUGACGACGACGGCCCAGACCUCCGACGGAGCAGCAGUGGAGAUCUGCG
Molecule: ribosomal RNA, 383 nt
Filed under: uncultured soil bacterium
Lineage: Bacteria
Description: bacterial SSU rRNA
Rfam family: Bacterial small subunit ribosomal RNA
Source: RNAcentral